UACGUAGGGUGCGAGCGUUAAUCGGAAUUACUGGGCGUAAAGCGUGCGCAGGCGGUUUUGUAAGCCAGAUGUGAAAUCCCCGGGCUUAACCUGGGAAUGGCAUUUGGGACUGCAAGGCUGGAGUGCGGCAGAGGAGACUGGAAUUCCUGGUGUAGCAGUGAAAUGCGUAGAUAUCAGGAGGAACAGCCGAUGGCGAAGGCAGGUCUCUGGGCUGACACUGACGCUCAUGCACGAAAGCGUGGGGAGCAAACAGGAUUAGAGUACCCGG
This 268-nucleotide ribosomal RNA is filed under the name uncultured bacterium. RNAcentral's name for it is "partial 16S ribosomal RNA". It matches the Rfam family "Bacterial small subunit ribosomal RNA", at positions 524 to 790 of the family's 1533-position model. The record is from RNAcentral.